This 531-nucleotide ribosomal RNA is filed under the name Parvibaculum sp. Its description in RNAcentral is "bacterial SSU rRNA". It matches the Rfam family "Bacterial small subunit ribosomal RNA", at positions 369 to 900 of the family's 1533-position model. Lineage: Bacteria; Pseudomonadati; Pseudomonadota; Alphaproteobacteria; Hyphomicrobiales; Parvibaculaceae. The record is from RNAcentral.
CAAUGGGCGCAAGCCUGAUCCAGCCAUGCCGCGUGCAGGAAGACUGCCCUAUGGGUUGUAAACUGCUUUUAUACAGGAAGAAACCGCUCUACGUGUAGAGCUCUGACGGUACUGUAAGAAUAAGGAUCGGCUAACUCCGUGCCAGCAGCCGCGGUAAUACGGAGGAUCCAAGCGUUAUCCGGAAUCAUUGGGUUUAAAGGGUCCGUAGGUGGAUAAUUAAGUCAGAGGUGAAAGUCUGCAGCUCAACUGUAGAAUUGCCUUUGAUACUGGUUAUCUUGAGUUAUUAUGAAGUAGUUAGAAUAUGUAGUGUAGCGGUGAAAUGCAUAGAUAUUACAUAGAAUACCAAUUGCGAAGGCAGAUUACUAAUAAUAUACUGACACUGAUGGACGAAAGCGUGGGGAGCGAACAGGAUUAGAUACCCUGGUAGUCCACGCCGUAAACGAUGGUUACUAGCUGUUCGGACUUCGGUCUGAGUGGCUAAGCGAAAGUGAUAAGUAACCCACCUGGGGAGUACGUUCGCAAGAAUGAAAC